GGAUGAGCCCGCGGCCUAUCAGCUUGUUGGUGGGGUAAUGACCUACCAAGGCGUCGACGGGUAGCCGGCCUGAGAGGGUGGACGGCCACAUUGGGACUGAGAUACGGCCCAGACUCCUACGGGAGGCAGCAGUGGGGAAUAUUGCACAAUGGGCGGAAGCCUGAUGCAGCGACGCCGCGUGGGGGAUGACGGCCUUCGGGUUGUAAACCUCUUUCGCUAGGGACGAAGCUUUUGUGACGGUACCUAGAUAAGAAGCACCGGCUAACUACGUGCCAGCAGCCGCGGUAAUACGUAGGGUGCGAGCGUUGUCCGGAAUUACUGGGCGUAAAGAGCUCGUAGGUGGUUUGUCGCGUCGUCUGUGAAAUUCCGGGGCUUAACUUCGGGCGUGCAGGCGAUACGGGCAAUACUUGAGUGCUGUAGGGGAGACUGGAAUUCCUGGUGUAGCGGUGGAAUGCGCAGAUAUCAGGAGGAACACCGAUGGCGAAGGCAGGUCUCUGGGCAGUAACUGACGCUGAGGAGCGAAAGCAUGGGUAGCGAACAGGAUUAGAUACCCUGGUAGUCCAUGCCGUAAACGGUGGGCGCUAGGUGUAGGGGUCUUCCACGACUUCUGUGCCGUAGCUAACGCAUUAAGCGCCCCGCCUGGGGAGUACGGCCGCAAGGCUAAAACUCAAAGGAAUUGACGGGGGCCCGCACAAGCGGCGGAGCAUGUGGAUUAAUUCGAUGCAACGCGAAGAACCUUACCUGGG
This 746-nucleotide ribosomal RNA is filed under the name uncultured actinomycete. Its description in RNAcentral is "bacterial SSU rRNA". It matches the Rfam family "Bacterial small subunit ribosomal RNA", at positions 223 to 979 of the family's 1533-position model. The record is from RNAcentral. Lineage: Bacteria; Bacillati; Actinomycetota; Actinomycetes; Actinomycetales.